Molecule: ribosomal RNA, 492 nt
Filed under: uncultured bacterium
Lineage: Bacteria
Description: partial 16S ribosomal RNA
Rfam family: Bacterial small subunit ribosomal RNA
Source: RNAcentral
AGUGAACGCUGGCGGUAGGCCUAACACAUGCAAGUCGAACGGCAGCACGGUAAGAGCUUGCUCUUACGGGUGGCGAGUGGCGGACGGGUGAGGAAUACAUCGGAAUCUACUUUUUCGUGGGGGAUAACGUAGGGAAACUUACGCUAAUACCGCAUACGACCUACGGGCGAAAGCAGGGGAUCUUCGGACCUUGCGCGAUUGAAUGAGCCGAUGUCGGAUUAGCUAGUUGGCGGGGUAAAGGCCCACCAAGGCGACGAUCCGUAGCUGGUCUGAGAGGAUGAUCAGCCACACUGGGACUGAGACACGGUCCAGACUCCUACGGGAGGCAGCAGUGGGGAAUAUUGGACAAUGGGCGCAAGCCUGAUCCAGCCAUACCGCGUGGGUGAAGAAGGCCUUCGGGUUGUAAAGCCCUUUUGUUGGGAAAGAAAAGCAGCAGGUUAAUACCCCGCUGUUCUGACGGUACCCAAAGAAUAAGCACCGGCUAACUUCGUG